Manis javanica (Malayan pangolin) is the source of this 2528-nucleotide long non-coding RNA. RefSeq lists it as uncharacterized. The record is from RefSeq and is a predicted model, not a curated record. Lineage: Eukaryota; Metazoa; Chordata; Mammalia; Pholidota; Manidae.
AAAUCCUCAUUGCCGCCGCCAAUGAGCUUGUGGUGCUCAAUUAGCUUGUAAUAGUCGCAAGAGAGCUUCCUGGGUGCAAUCUGACCAACUAAUGAAAAGUUUACAGCCCGCUUUUUCCCCCUUCUCCCUGGCAAGGGAAAGAAGAAUUCCAAUCAAAGUGGGAUGGCCGGGGCGGGGAAAGGAGGAGGGGGCACGCGACCUGCUGGAGAAGACUCUAGAAGGGACGUCUUUGUAAGGUUGACUCCUGCAGAGGGUCCAACUGAAGAAGCGCCUAACUACAGAAGCGCCCAUCUCACUCCCCUGCUGGCUUCUCCACCCUCACGAAGGCCAUGCACAAGGUCCCCCUGUGGCCAGGAAUGGUGGGCUGGGCCCUGGAUGCUUCAGACCAAGCCGGCCCUCCGUGCUCCUCCAUCUCCCUCCGGGACAGGCCAAGGAGUUGGUGACCUCUUUGGAUAAAAAUUAAAGAUAACAUCUUUAGAACUCUGAGGGUUCUCAAGUACAAGAAACUGGGCUUUUAAGCCUCUCUAAGAAUUUCGGGCGGCGGAGGAAGCGCAGGAGGAGGGGAAGCAGGUGCACGCCCACCACGGAGCCCCAUCCAGACGGUCCAGCAGGGACACGCCCAUCAGGAUCCCAAGGAGGAACGCCUUCCUGAAGCCAUUCCUCGUCACCCUAGUCCGUGGGGGCUUCUCCCUCCUGUGAACCACAGCACUGGGGGUCCAUCUCUGCUCCUUGCGGGACCUGAGCACGCCCUGCCCUGCUGGGGACUCAGUCACCCUGGGCCAGACCAACAGCCCCCUGCAGGCAAGGACCAUGGCUGCAGCCCCUCUGCGCUUUCUGCCAGGCUUGCAGGCCGCUGUCUGGUAACUGCUAACUGAUGGAUUCAUUCAUGAACAAUUUCUCCCCAGCAGGGAGCUGCAUGCAGUGACACGGAGUCGUCACCGAGGCCUCUCUGCUGCCCAGUGCUCUGACCUGGGUCCCAUUUGGUUGCCGUGUUUGUCCGGGGAGGAGCGUCCAGCACCUCAGCACACGACUGGGGAAGGUGAGGGUGCUGGAGAGGAAACAUCAAGAGCCUCAUACCAAGUGGUCCUGCUUCACUGGACAGAAUCUGGGAGGCCAGGCAGCCCACUUCGAGACACUGGACGUCUGCAGGGUCACCGGCAACUCAAUGGCCCCAGUCCCCUCGGUUCCGGGAUGCAGCCUGGUCGGCCGCCCCUCUCCUCCCGACACAGCGUCACAGAGGCCUCCCCGGAGCACAGCACCCAGCUGGCCCCCAUGCAGGGGGGACCAGGCAGUUCUCUGCUCCUGCCCCUCCUUUCUGUGCGGGACGGUGGUAGAGAACAGGAGUGGGGAGAAGACACAGCCAAGCUCUCACCGGGGUGGGAGGCCAUAUCCUCACCCACUGGUCUUCCAGAAAGGCUCCCAGACCGUCCUGCCCUCUGCCCUGCAGGGCGAUCAGGGGAGUGACGACCACAGUGACAGCUACACCCAAGUGCACGGGAUGCCAGCAGAGCUGGAGAAGCUGAUGAGCCACAGGCUUGCUCCCUGGGCCCAGGUGCAAAGCCCUGAGCAGGAGCCAAUCACUGACCGCCCCACCAGGGCCCCUGCAGACCAGGCAUCACAGGCCCUGUCUCUGCUCCCCAGUCGCUGAGACGAUCGUCCACUGUGAGCCAUUCAUUUACUUAACACAUAUUUCCCAAGAGACUGCUUUGUGCUGGGCUUGGGGACAUGGCACAGCUCGCUAUGGACACGGUCCUGCCUGCGACCCUGGUCUUCUUGUUGGGACUGUGACUCCCGGGACUGGAGGGAGGUGGGGAGCCCCGCAGGGCCAUUCCUGCCAGGCACCUCCUCACCCACUGGUAUAAGUAACAGACGGCUGAGUUAUAACCUCCGUGCAGGUGACUCUGCUACACAGUGUGGGGGACGUGAAGAUAAACCAGGGUCUGAAGCAGCUUAGGGCCUAGUAAUCAGAAAAGGACAGGUGGCUCCCAGCGAUGACACAAAGAAGGCCACAGGUGCCCUAAGAGGGCAGAUAAACAGCUGUGAGCACGGGCUGGGAGGCGGCUCCCGUUCUGCCCAGACAGACCAUCCUGUGGCUGAGCCAGCCGACUGUAAGCAGAGAAGAGGGGGCCCUCGCGGGCCUGGCUCCGGCCCUCGCCUCGAACAGGCUGAUCUAUUUGAACCGACUCGAGGCAGGUCACGGCCUUUUCUGGAGCUGUGCGGGGAGCUGGACAGAACCAGGCCCGUCGGCGUCCUACCGAUCUUUUAAAAAAUCGCGUAGCUGUUGCCUGGAUCACAGAACCUUGCCAUUCAAAGGGAGGGUCCACACUGGGAGGCAGGUGGGGCUGGCGGGGGAGAGGAGGAGGGGAUUGGCAGGAAGGGGGAACGCCCCCCAAAUAUGGAUCAGGGCAGCUGGCAAAGGAAAUUCGCGCACUGUGGUUACUUUACUACCUAAUUAAUUCAGUCAUUUUAAAAACAAUUUUAUUUAUGUUCCAUUUACCACAUCAAAAGUAAAAAAAAAAAAAAACCUA